UUCGGUCAAUCAAGAUCAUUGGUGGCAUCAGUUUCAUCUUGGUUCACACAUCAUCUGCUCUUGAUGUUGCAAAUGGGACUGUUGUCUGCUUACAUAAAGGUGAAAUAUACGUAACAGCAACUUCAAUAUAAAACUGCCAGAAUAAAGAUCGAUUAUCCUUACAAACCUGAGAAAAGAAGGCUUAACAACAGACACAUAGCAAUAGGAGUUGCACACAGAAUGAAUAGGACAUCACCACAACAUUUUAACAAUCAUAAAAGGAGACUCAUGGUUUGUUUGUUUCUAGGGAACGCAAGUAGUUUAGACCACCUUGAAAGUAGUUGACUAGGGUUUCUUGUUGUGGCAUGCUUUCGUGUAUAAUAGGAAUCUCUUUGAAGUUUUCAGCCCAUUGAUGGAGUGAAGGGAACUUCUCUGGAUCAAGUAGCUUCACAUUUCCUACUUCCUCCAUGGCACUGAGCCAAAGAGUUUUCCAACCCAUCACUAGAUCCAGGUAGCCUAUCUGCUCCCCGCCAAAAAACUUCUUGCCUUCAAUUUGCUUCUCGAUAAAUGCAUACAAUUCUUGUACUGACUCUAUAGUUUUUGCUUUUGCCUCUCCUUCAUCUUGCAUUGCCAUAGCUUGCCAUGAUCCUAUGACACACUGAACAUGAAAAUUAACACAAUCAGAAAGCUAUCAUUUAGUCAUUUGCUAUUCUUGUCUAUGAUAUUUUAUCAGAUGCAUUAACUUGUAUAGCAUGAUUUCUUAACCAUUAAAUUGUUGUCAAUUGCAUUCUUCACACCAAAUUACUUGAAAUGGUUCCAUAUAUUAGAUUGCAGUUGACUGAAGAUCAUGUUUAUGGUCUCAUAAUUUAAGUUAUGAACGUUACUGUCUUAGUACAUAUAUCUGCUAGCUUUUGUACAACAACAUAUCCAGUGUAGUCAUACACAGUGGGGUCUGUGGAGGGUAGUGUGUACGCAGACCUUACCUCUACCUCAUAAGUGACAAAAAACAGUCUAGGAAUUAAUCUGCUAAGUUUUUGUAUGCCUUAUAAUAUGAAGAAUUGGAUUAUGCCAAGAAAGAAAAUCUUACCUUGUCAUCAACAAAUUUUGCCCAGAAACGAGCUGUAGCUCGUUCAUGAGGAUCCUGAGGCAACAAAGAGUAUCCUUUCCAUGUUUCAUCAAUAUAUUCAAGGAUAACAAGUGAUUCAACGACGGGUUUGUCAUCGUGUAGUAGGACAGGG
This 1217-nucleotide long non-coding RNA is filed under the name Solanum tuberosum (potato). RNAcentral describes it as "long non-coding RNA (STUB_LNC006769)". Lineage: Eukaryota; Viridiplantae; Streptophyta; Magnoliopsida; Solanales; Solanaceae. The record is from RNAcentral.